Molecule: non-coding RNA, 2487 nt
Organism: Nicotiana tabacum (common tobacco)
Lineage: Eukaryota; Viridiplantae; Streptophyta; Magnoliopsida; Solanales; Solanaceae
Source: RefSeq, a predicted model, not a curated record
AACCCCAUCAAAUAUUUGUAGGAGAAACCCUAAACAUUUUCAUUCUCUCAUUCUCCAAAAUGGAGAACAACCGCUAACCCCUUUGAGAGCUCCAUCUUCUCUAUCACUUGAGAGAUCUGCCGCCAAGCUCCUCCUUGCCCCCCCUGUUUUCGUCGUCGGCCAGCCACCAACGGCCAUGGCUGGCAGUUAUCCCCUUUUUCCCAUUUUCCUAAUCGUUUGUUAGCUUUGAGGGUUCGAUCUCGUUGGCUUUAGAUCUAGCCGGAAACUCAAACACCGGCUACCUCCAUGGAAAGCGGCAGAUCUGGACCUCUAUUUUCGCUCAUUUUCUGUUACUCACUCUCCUCUUUCUUCCUUCUUACAGGCUAUCAAAAAAGGGGAGGUUUGGGAUGUUUUGAAUCUGGCCGGAAAUGAAGCUAACGUCGGUGACUUCUUUGAUGUUAGGCGUUACUCUGGCGUUCAUCGUGGAAGUAAAGCCAACAACCAUUGCUUUUCAUCCUUCGCUGUCGACCUCUGUUAUUUGGCCAGAUCUCCGGCGAACCUCCUUUCUUUUGUGAUGCGUUCAUUAUUUUGUGAGGCUUAUUUGGUUAUAGUGACAUUGUGAUACCAUUGCUGCUGUUGGAUAUUCUGGCUGGAUUGACGUUUUUCCGGCAACCCCAGGGGAUUUGAAAUGUUUAUUUUUCUACCUAAUAUUGCCUUUGUUGUGUUGCUGAAAAUGGUUCAUUAAACUCACCAUAUUAUUUCCUAGUCGUUUGCUCGAAUUUGUCCCAAAGGCAGAAGAUUUUGUUAAAUAAUUAUCUUUGUAUUUCUUUGUCCUUUGGAUUCGUUCAACUGCUGUAAUUUGUCACGAUGCUGCCUCUUUUGGACCGUUGCCUACUGUGUUUUGAUGAUUUAUGUUUCGAGAAUUUUGGAGUGUUUGUUCUUGCCUCACUGUUUGUUCUCGAUGAACGUUUGUAGUGGACCUUGACUGAUUUGAACGAGAUACUGCGUUGUUAAAUUAGGCCGAUGAGAACAAAAUAUUUGAGGCCUUGUGAUGAUUUUUGACUGAUAAAAGACAAGAUACUACACGGUCUCUCGGAUCCGGAACCAAAAUACAUUUAUGAGGCGAUGACGAAAGCCAAAGGAAAAACAAAAGACGAGAAUGUGAAUGUCUGUGCUUCAGGAGGCAACAUGGUUGGCCACCGGAGUUGCUACAAAGUCGACGUUCAUGUUCUAAUAUCUUAUUGUUAUAUGGCAUACACCAUCUGAGCUUCCAAAAAUUCUUUUAAAUCAUUUUAAAAAGAGUGUUUUCCUAUAUUAUUUUAAAAAUAUUUUCCAAAAAUUACUUUCCAAAAGAUAUCUUGAAAAACAUUUUUUCACAGAAUUGCUUUCCAAAAAGUAUUUUCUUAACCAUUUUCAAAGAAAACAAAAAUAAUAUUUAAAAGUAUUUUCUUAAAUCAUUUUUAAAUGACAAUAUUCGAAAAACGUCUUUAAAUAAAGUCAUUUCAAGAAAAAAUAAAUUAGUUUAUUAUUUUGCUUUAUACUUUACUAAUAAUUUUACUUUUCUUGUCUUGCGAGGUACUAUCACAUGGAGUUGCUUUCGGGAGACGUCACCCAAAGACGAAAAGACAAGUACCCGUCAAAGCUCCCCGCUUCACACUUCAUAUUCUUGGAUAUACUGCGUUGUUAAAUUAGGUCGAUGAGAACAAAAUUUUUGAGGCCUUGUGAUGAAUUUUGACUGAUAAAGGACAUGUUACUACACCGUCCCUCGGAUCUGAAACCAAAAUACAUUUAUGAGGCGAUGACGAAAGCCAAAGGAAAAAUAAAAGACGAGAAUGUGAAUGUUUGUGCUUCAGGAAGCAACAUGAUUGGCCACCGGAGUUGCUACCAAGUCGGUGUUCGCGUUCUAAUAUCUUAUUGCUAUAUGGCAUACACCAUCCGAGCCUCCAAAAAAAAAUUUAAAUAAUUUUCAAAAGAAUAUUUUUCUAUAUUGUUUUAAAACUAUUUUCCAAAAACUACUUUCCAAAGAAUAUCUUCAAAAACAUUUUUUCAGAGAAUUGAUUUCCAAAAUGUAUUUACUUAACCAUUUUCAAAUAAACAAAAAUAAUUUUUCAAAACUAUUUUCUUAAAUUAUUUUUAAAUGACAAUGUUCUAAAAAUGCCUUUAAAUAAAGUCAUUUCAAGAAAAAAUGAAUUAGUUUAUUAUUUUGCUUUAUACUUUACUAAUAAUUUUACUUUUCUCGUCUUGCGAGGUAAUAUCACAUAAAGUUGCUUUCGGGAGACGUCACCCAAAGACGAAAAGAUGUGUCCCCGUCAAAGCUCCCCGCUUUGCACUUCCUAUUCUUGGAUAUAUCCAAAACGUAAAGUAUAGUAAAGUAGUAGAUAAAUAUUGUGUUUGCUUGCUUGCUUUGAUGUUUACCUAUUUGCGAAACACUCAGGGUGAAUUGCAUUUAGAAAUAAUCCGGUUAACUUGUAACAUUGUACAUUACAUAAUUCACAUAAUUUGUAUGGA